Molecule: ribosomal RNA, 500 nt
Filed under: uncultured bacterium
Lineage: Bacteria
Description: partial 16S ribosomal RNA
Rfam family: Bacterial small subunit ribosomal RNA
Source: RNAcentral
AUUGAACGCUGGCGGAAUGCUUUACACAUGCAAGUCGAACGGCAGCACGGACUUCGGUCUGGUGGCGAGUGGCGAGCGGGUGAGUAAUGUAUCGGAACGUGCCCAGUCGUGGGGGAUAACGUAGUGAAAAUUACGCUAAUACCACAUACGAUCUAUGGAUGAAAGCGGGGGAUCGCAAGACCUCGCGCGAUUGGAGCGGCCGAUAUCAGAUUAGGCAGUUGGUGGGGUAAAGGCCCACCAAGCCAACGAUCUGUAGCUGGUCUGAGAGGACGACCAGCCACACUGGAACUGAGACACGGUCCAGACUCCUACGGGAGGCAGCAGUGGGGAAUUUUGGACAAUGGGCGAAAGCCUGAUCCAGCCAUUCCGCGUGCAGGAUGAAGGCCCUCGGGUUGUAAACUGCUUUUGUACAGAACGAAAAGGUUUCUACUAAUACUAGGAGCUCAUGACGGUACUGUAAGAAUAAGCACCGGCUAACUACGUGCCAGCAGCCGCAGUAA